Molecule: ribosomal RNA, 468 nt
Filed under: uncultured bacterium
Lineage: Bacteria
Description: partial 16S ribosomal RNA
Rfam family: Bacterial small subunit ribosomal RNA
Source: RNAcentral
GACGAACGCUGGCGGCGUGCUUAACACAUGCAAGUCGAACGGAAAGGCCCUGCUUUUGUGGGGUGCUCGAGUGGCGAACGGGUGAGUAACACGUGAGUAACCUGCCCUUGACUUUGGGAUAACUUCAGGAAACUGGGGCUAAUACCGGAUAGGAGCUCCUGCUGCAUGGUGGGGGUUGGAAAGUUUCGGCGGUUGGGGAUGGACUCGCGGCUUAUCAGCUUGUUGGUGGGGUAGUGGCUUACCAAGGCUUUGACGGGUAGCCGGCCUGAGAGGGUGACCGGCCACAUUGGGACUGAGAUACGGCCCAGACUCAUACGGGAGGCAGCAGUGGGGAAUAUUGCACAAUGGGCGGAAGCCUGAUGCAGCAACGCCGCGUGCGGGAUGACGGCCCUCGGGUUGUAAACCGCUUUCGCCUGUGACGAAGCGUGAGUGACGGUAAUGGGUAAAGAAGCACCGGCUAACUACGUG